GUUUCUUUGUGUUCCAUCGUCGAGCUGUCUGCGUAACUCGUUUAGGUGCACUGUCUCGUGUUUCAUACUCUGCGUCAUUCCGUUUUCGCCAUUCGGUUCGUCGCCGGCGCCAUAGCCAAUCGAUUAUUUGGUUCUUCAAGGCA
This is a non-coding RNA of Caenorhabditis elegans, 143 nucleotides long. The record is from Ensembl. NCBI's taxonomy places the organism in Eukaryota, Metazoa, Nematoda, Chromadorea, Rhabditida, Rhabditidae.